RNAcentral lists this ribosomal RNA (253 nucleotides) under uncultured bacterium. RNAcentral's name for it is "partial 16S ribosomal RNA". It matches the Rfam family "Bacterial small subunit ribosomal RNA", at positions 524 to 776 of the family's 1533-position model. The record is from RNAcentral.
UACAGAGGUCUCAACCGUUGUUCGGAUUUAUUGGGCGUAAAGGGUGCGUAGGCGGUCGGGUAAGUCGGAUGUGAAAUCCCAGGGCUCAACCCUGGAACUGCAUUCGAUACUGCCUGGCUAGGGUACUGGAGAGGAGACUGGAAUUUACGGUGUAGCAGUGAAAUGCGUAGAUAUCGUAAGGAAGACCAGUGGCGAAGGCGAGUCUCUGGACAGUUACCGACGCUGAGGCACGAAGGUCAGGGGAGCAAACGGG